CCUACGGGAGGCAGCAGUGAGGAAUAUUGGUCAAUGGGCGAGAGCCUGAACCAGCCAAGUCGCGUGAGGGAGUACUGCCCUAUGGGUUGUAAACCUCUUUUGUCGGGGAGCAAAAGCCGGACGUGUCCGGCUGUGAGAGUACCCGAAGAAAAAGCAUCGGCUAACUCCGUGCCAGCAGCCGCGGUAAUACGGAGGAUGCGAGCGUUAUCCGGAUUUAUUGGGUUUAAAGGGUGCGCAGGCGGAUUUUUAAGUCAGCGGUAAAAUCGUGGGGCUCAACCCCAUCCAGCCGUUGAAACUGGGGAUCUAGAGUGUGCGAGAGGUAUGCGGAAUGCGUGGUGUAGCGGUGAAAUGCAUAGAUAUCACGCAGAACCCCGAUUGCGAAGGCAGCAUACCGGUGUACAACUGACGCUCAGGCACGAAAGCGUGGGUAUCGAACAGGAUUAGAUACCCUUGUAGUC
RNAcentral lists this ribosomal RNA (458 nucleotides) under uncultured bacterium. RNAcentral describes it as "partial 16S ribosomal RNA". It matches the Rfam family "Bacterial small subunit ribosomal RNA", at positions 338 to 795 of the family's 1533-position model. The record is from RNAcentral.